AGUGUUUCCAAACUGCAGGUUUCGGUUUUACAAGAGAAAAGACUAGAAGGAUAAAGACUAAUUUGUUGGUUUGGAAAAUGGACGUCUGGUUAUCUUGUCAACGCUAGAUAAAGAGCAGCUCUGUUUCUCCGCAGUGGCUGGGGCUGCUCGGUUAGCAGGAGCCGGUGAGGAGUUGAGUGGCCAUGCAUGCUGGCACAAGGAGGAGUCCUCAGCCUUCAGUCACACCCUUUGCUUCACCAGGAAGGACGUCCCCCAACAACCGCCAUAACACCAAAGACCAAGAAACAAAUGAUUAAUAUAACAGAAAAUUGCAUGUGUAACCCUACAGUGUUCAAAUGUGUACACUCCAUUUGAAAUAAUGUCAGGUUAAAGGUGUGAAUAAAUAAGAUUCUAAAUCAAACAAACUGUUGUGUCCAUUGUUUGGUUGUAGUUGACUGCAAAUGAAGUGAACCUGUGUAGGAAAGCAAACUAAUGAGAUGAGACAGUGUGGACUGAUGACUUUUUAUCUCAAAGCCUUAAAAGUGCUAGGUCUCAGUGCCACAACUGCCAUUAACAAUCAGCAUUUUAACACUGCCAUCAGGGUGCUAUUCCAGAAAGAAGGUUUAGUGAAAACUCUGAGUUUGUUCACCCUGAGAUGAGGGAAACUCUGGGUUUUCAGUUCCAGAAAGAGAGGGAACUUAAACUCUGGGUCAGUUACCACAGUAACUAAGUCCAUAUUGAAGCGCAUUCAUUAGCGGAGGUUUACUGUAUGUCAGAAUCAACUUUUGGGUAUUAGUUUAGUUACUCAAGGACUCUCUUAAGUUACCACUUUUAUGCAUCAUUGAUGAUGGCUUUUUUCAUUCACUGCGCAAGCUUAACUCAGAGUGGACAUACUCAGAGUUGAUUGAACUCACUCUGGUCAGCUGUUCUGGAACCAACAACU
This is a long non-coding RNA of Thunnus maccoyii (southern bluefin tuna), 922 nucleotides long. RefSeq lists it as uncharacterized. NCBI's taxonomy places the organism in Eukaryota, Metazoa, Chordata, Actinopteri, Scombriformes, Scombridae. The record is from RefSeq and is a predicted model, not a curated record. The transcript is spliced from 3 exons.